RNAcentral lists this ribosomal RNA (362 nucleotides) under uncultured bacterium. Its description in RNAcentral is "bacterial SSU rRNA". It matches the Rfam family "Bacterial small subunit ribosomal RNA", at positions 1 to 334 of the family's 1533-position model. The record is from RNAcentral.
CGCGAUCGAUCAGAGUUUGAUCCUGGCUCAGGAUGAACGCUGACAGAAUGCUUAACACAUGCAAGUCGAACGGACGGAGGUAACGGAACUCUUCGGAGGGAAGUGACCCGAGUUAGUGGCGGAUGGGUGAGUAACGCGUGGGUAACCUGCUUAUAUGGGGAAUAACAUUGAGAAAUCAUUGCUAAUACCGCAUAAUAUUCUCAUGUCGCAUGACAAGAGAAGGAAAGACGGCCUUUGAGCUGUCGCUAUGAGAUGGACCCGCGUCUGAUUAGUUAGUUGGUGAGGUAACGGCUCACCAAGACGAUGAUCAGUAGCCGGCCUGAGAGGGUGAACGGCCACAUUGGGACUGAGACACGGCCCAA